This is a long non-coding RNA of Oncorhynchus keta (chum salmon), 1196 nucleotides long. RefSeq lists it as uncharacterized. The transcript is spliced from 3 exons. Lineage: Eukaryota; Metazoa; Chordata; Actinopteri; Salmoniformes; Salmonidae. The record is from RefSeq and is a predicted model, not a curated record.
GGAAGGUGAGAUUGUUGUCUGUGCGUUGUUCGUGUUUCCUGUUUGUAUUAUGUUUAGUUUAUUUAUUAAAUUAUUCGCUCCCUGAACUUGCUUCCCAGGGCAACGCUACAACCCCUCUGUGUUAAGGUGCUUCCCAGGGCAACGCUACAACCCCUCUGUGUUAAGGUGCUUCCCAGGGCAACGCUACAACCCCUCUGUGUUAAGGUGCUUCCCAGGGCAACGCUACAACCCCUCUGUGUUAAGGUGCUUCCCAGGGCAACGCUACAACCCCUCUGUGUUAAGGUGCUUCCCAGGGCAACGCUACAACCCCUCUGUGUUAAGGUGCUUCCCAGGGCAACGCUACAACCCCUCUGUGUUAAGGUGCUUCCCAGGGCAACGCUACAACCCCUCUGUGUUAAGGUGCUUCCCAGGGCAACGCUACAACCCCUCUGUGUUAAGGUGCUUCCCAGGGCAACGCUACAACCCCUCUGUGUUAAGGUGCUUCCCAGGGCAACGCUACAACCCCUCUGUGUUAAGGUGCUUCCCAGGGCAACGCUACAACCCCUCGGUGUUAAGGUGCUUCCCAGGGCAACGCUACAACCCCUCUGUGUUAAGGUGCUUCCCAGGGCAACGUUACAUCCCCUCUGUGUUAAGGUGCUUCCCAGGGCAACGCUACAACCCCUCUGUGUUAAGGUGCUUCCCAGAGCAACGCUACAACCCCUCUGUGUUAAGGUGCUUCCCAGGGCAACGCUACAACCCCUCUGUGUUAAGGUGCUUCCCAGGGCAACGCUACAACCCCUCUGUGUUAAGGUGCUUCCCAGGGCAACGCUACAACCCCUCUGUGUUAAGGUGCUUCCCAGGGCAACGCUACAACCCCUCUGUGUUAAGGUGCAACGCUACAACCCCUCUGUGUUAAGGUGCAACGCUACAACCCCUCUGUGUUAAGGUGCUUCCCAGGGCAACGCUACAACCCCUCUGUGUUAAGGUGCUUCCCAGGGCAACGCUACAACCCCUCUGUGUUAAGGUGCUUCCCAGGGCAACGCUACAACCCCUCUGUGUUAAGGUGCUUCCCAGGGCAACGCUACAACCCCUCUGUGUUAAGGUGCUUCCCAGGGCAACGCUACAACCCCUCUGUGUUAAGGUGCUUCCCAGGGCAACGCUACAACCCCUCUGUGUUAAGGUGCUUCCCAGGGCAACGUUACAUCCCCUCUGUGUUA